GGUGACAUGAAUUUUUGAAACUUCCCUCCAUGUCCCAGAAUACAGUGCAAAAUACAUCCCAGUUACAUCACGAAUACAUUAGGAAGAGGUUGGGUUACACAGAUUACAUCACGAAUACAUUAGGAAGAGGUUGGGUUACACCGGAUUAACAUAUGGAGGAGGGAGGGGGGAAUAUGCAGAGCUGGAGAUAUGCGCAGAUAAGCACAUCCUGAGAAGACAAUGGUCCAUGUAUGCAUAGUCUGCCACCUGGCAUUGCCCGGAGGAAAGGCUUGGCAGAGCGACUUGACAGGAUUAGGGUCUUGACACCUUGCUUGAGGGAUUAUGGAGGACAGGGGAGGUGUCAUGGAGUCCUAGAGAAAUUGAGCAAAUUGGCAC
Podarcis lilfordi (Lilford's wall lizard) is the source of this 375-nucleotide non-coding RNA. Lineage: Eukaryota; Metazoa; Chordata; Lepidosauria; Squamata; Lacertidae. The record is from the annotation of a GenBank genome assembly.